CCUACGGGAGGCAGCAGUAGGGAAUCUUCCGCAAUGGACGAAAGUCUGACGGAGCAACGCCGCGUGAGCGAAGAAGGCCUUCGGGUCGUAAAGCUCUGUUGUCAGGGAAGAACAAGUACCGGAGUAACUGCCGGUACCUUGACGGUACCUGACGAGAAAGCCACGGCUAACUACGUGCCAGCAGCCGCGGUAAU
RNAcentral lists this ribosomal RNA (194 nucleotides) under uncultured Bacillus sp. RNAcentral describes it as "partial 16S ribosomal RNA". It matches the Rfam family "Bacterial small subunit ribosomal RNA", at positions 338 to 524 of the family's 1533-position model. RNAcentral also lists the same sequence under 1 other name. The record is from RNAcentral. Lineage: Bacteria; Bacillati; Bacillota; Bacilli; Caryophanales; Bacillaceae.